Molecule: ribosomal RNA, 292 nt
Filed under: uncultured bacterium
Lineage: Bacteria
Description: partial 16S ribosomal RNA
Rfam family: Bacterial small subunit ribosomal RNA
Source: RNAcentral
GUGUCAGCAGCCGCGGUAAUACGGAGGGUGCAAACGUUGCUCGGAAUCAUUGGGCGUAAAGCGCACGUAGGCGGACCGCUAAGUCGGAUGUGAAAGCCCUCGGCUUAACCGAGGAAGUGCAUUCGAAACUGACGGUCUUGAGUAUGGAAGAGGGUCGCGGAAUUCCCGGUGUAGAGGUGAAAUUCGUAGAUAUCGGGAGGAACACCAGUGGCGAAGGCGGCGACCUGGGCCAAUACUGACGCUGAGGUGCGAAAGCGUGGGGAGCAAACAGGAUUAGAAACCCCCGUAGUCC